Molecule: long non-coding RNA, 4515 nt
Organism: Amphiprion ocellaris (clown anemonefish)
Lineage: Eukaryota; Metazoa; Chordata; Actinopteri; Pomacentridae
Exons: 4
Source: RefSeq, a predicted model, not a curated record
GGGCGAUCCGCUUUCUUCACCAGAACCGAAAGGAUUCUAAACAUUAGUCUUCUUGAGUAUUAUUUUCCAAUCAUCUUAGAUUUCUUGCGCACUCGGCGCAGAUGUGUCACCAUGAUGUGCUGUGAAAAAGGACCCAAACUUGAGAUAUCGAUGGAUUCGUCGACACGAGCUCAUCUCCUGAGCAGAUUAAAGAACAGCUCCAUCACAUGACGGAGGACGUGGCUCACAGACGCUCAUCGGUCUGCAGAGGAUGAUCUACGGGUCCAUUUCUCAACAUAAUGCAGCGAACAGCGAAAGGAGACACAGGCUGUAUGGCAGCUUGGACACUUCUGGACCUCCAGAGGCUGACAAAGUCCGGACAAUAACUGCACUAAUGAAGGUGAACACACAACAAUGAAGUGUCAUCCGGAGUCCUGCAAUGUUUGUGAGUACUAAAAUAAGCACCCUGAGCUGAGAGCCCAGCCAGCUGCCUUCCUGCCCUGCUCUGGCUCCCCCUAGCCGUGCCUCCAUAUUUCCUUGUUAGUGCACACCAUAAUGGCCUGACCCUCCCUGUUCAAUUACACCAAAAAGACACCAAAAUACACCUGAAAACCUCCAUUUCUCCUUCUAAAUGUGGAGUAAACCGCCUCCAUGUGCCUACCAGCCAACAUUAGAGUCCACAGGCCACAGCAGAACAGAGGAUUUCUUACCUUUUCCUCAGUGGAUCAGCCUACACCUCCCUCUCCAAAGUUCCAACUUCGACAGCCUCCUUCUUCUUCCCAGCAAUCCCUGCAAAAAGGACACUUCCAUGUAUGUUGAAAAUGUAGGGGUGAUCCAAAUGGACAAAACCAUUUUUAAAGUGUCCAGACAGCCCCCAAGAUCCAAAAAUGGCCUUUUGGGGCCCAAAUAGGUAUAAUCUCCAAUAUUCCAUUAUAAAAUGCCAUAUCAGAGGCCUUAAAUAGCAAAACCCCCUCCUCAUAUAGACUCUCUUCUACCCCUAUGAUUUCAACUUAUUCUGGUCCAUCCUCUAGUCAUACAGUUCAUACUGAAGCGCAAUUGUAAGCGAGUGCGCAACUGAACUCUGCAGACUUUCUGCUGCGUUUUAUGCGUUUGCCAAGCCCUGGAGCAUCUCUGAGAGUCUACAAAUACUCCAUUGAUGGGAUUAUAGUGUCAAAGAGACAUUUUUCUUAUGGACUCGACCAAAAAAAGUCGAAGGAAAAUAUUUUCAUGAGGGUAAAAUCCAACGGUGCCAAAAGUGAGCUGCGUAUCCAAAUGGACCUCUCCAAAAGUGCACAGGUGCAUCUAAAGGCAAAAAGAGCUCUCCAAAGGCUCCAGGAGGAAAAAAUAUAACUUUACUCAGCUUAAAUGGUAAAUAUAUUAAUAAUGUAGUUUAAAAUUUACAAAUUAUACUCGAAAAUUAAAGGCUGCACUCAAAAAAAUCUUGAAUAUAAGGUCCACUAGAGAGCAAAAUGCAACGAGAAAAGUUCCAAAUGGCGCAAUGGCACUGCAGACAUUUAAGCUGAUUAUUUAUUUAUUUAAAAAUACUAUUUGCUGAAAUGUACAUUUGUUAAUACUAACAACGCUGUCGCACAGACUGUAAAUUCCAGUUAGCAUCCAUGUGGCCAACAAUAGCUGUGAAGCGGACAAAAAGCUGAGCUGUAAACGCACCCAGUCAGUGCGCUCAGAGUCCUGCAGUCUGUUCCUUCAUCCAGGAUUAAAUAAGCGUGGAUUCAGUGGUGCAGCAGGAAAAACCAAAGCAGACAAAGCAUUGAAAUGUCGUGUUUGGAGGAACAACAGCGCCGACGGUUAAAGCUGUUUCCCCCCAAACAAACCACGAUGCAAAUGAUGCUGGCAGCCGGCGGCGCUGCGUCAACGGACGGUCCGGGUCUGAAGCCUGCUGCGGUGUUCAGGUCGCUGAUCGGACGAUCUUCUGCCUCCCUACGUGUCCAGACAUGAGCCCACAGCAGGUUCAGGACCCCACAUCCCCUCUGUGGAACACCGAGCCUCCGGCAACAGCAGCACAAGAGGAGCCCUGUGCUCCCUGCGCUCUGUAGUGGAGGAAAAAGUGCAAAUAAAAAGACGGCCGUCUGACAAAGCCUCCGUUAUUUGCUCUGAAUCAGCGCUCGGACCUCAAAAACAGGCGCAGGGAGCCUUUAUUAAAGCGCAGCGCCUGUCCUCAUUGUGCGCAUUUGCUGCUGCAGCUGUCAAGCGGCUCACGUUUCACUGAAGCCACACAGUCAUAUAGAUACAGCACACUGUAAAAAACAACUUGUUUUUACAGACAUUUAUUAUGAAUUAAUACAUUUUUGUUAUCGUACCAAGAGGAUAUUUCUGUAAAUUACAGGAAAAUAACAUUCUCUAGCAACCCAGCAAACUAAUCUUCAGGGAACAUUUAGGGAACGUUUGAUGGAGGUUCCUGUUUGCUGUGAAAUAUGCUGUAGUAGUACAGUACAAAGGUCUUUCACAGUAACCAUCAGGGAACCAUCAGGGAACGCUCACAGGAUGUUCAUGAAGGUUCCCUGAUGGAAAUCUGCAAACAUUCAGGGAACAUUCAAAGAAUAUUUCCUUAAAGUUCCUGUUGGCUGUGAAAUCUCCAAAUAUUUGAACAUUACAUUACAAGAAUUCAUCUUUUUAUAACAAAAUAGUUUGAACUGUUUAAAAUUUUGUAAAAUUUGCUUGUUACCAGUGUAAAAAGAGAGAGCAAAGGGUUGUUCUCCAACCUUAAAAAAAAAAGAUAUUUAUGAAAAGAAUGUUGGUGAAUAUACUGAAUGAUCACAUGAAGUAAAAGCUUAGAUCUGUGAAUAUACUAAGUGUAGACUUUUAUAUACGCUGCAAAAGAACUGAAAAUGUGGCGGCAAAAGCACCAGAAAGGAUGCAUUUAAAAACUGUAAACAUAACAGCAAAAUAUCUGUAGAAUAAUGGUAUAUUUUUAGUUGAUUUAAAUGCACUAAAACUGCGUGAUUUUAUGGUCACACAUUGUAAAAGAAAAAAUAUUUGUUAAAACAAAAAAAAUAAAAAAAAAUAUAUAUAUAUAUUAGCAUCUACUGCUGUAUAAGAACAAAUUUUCCAUUUGUAAAAGUAUAUAUUUUAGAUAUGAGGUACAGUUCUGGUUUGCUUUGUAAUUUUAUUUUUUUUAAAUUAACAUGUAAAUUAAUAUUUUUUUUCCAUGGGAUUUUACAAGUUAUUAUCAGUAAUUUAACAAAACCGAAACAGUCUGUGAAAUAGGAAGAAAUUGUUCAAACAAUAACAGUUAACUGUUAAAAAAUAUGUUCUUUUUUUACACUGUAGGGUUCAUUACAUGUAGUUUAUAUUACUUUUCUUUAUGUUAUGCACAGAAUUCACAGCCGUAGCAGUGAGAUCUCAGAUAAACGGCACAGGUAUAGUUCAGAUUAUGUGUAUUUAAUUUUUAACUACUAUAAAUGUGUAGGAUAAAAACAUUUAUUGCCAGAUUGCCUCCAUUGAUAAACUGUAAACAUUUAACAGACAGUAAAGUGAACGUUAAUUCAGACAAGUGUUUUUGUGUGUUUCUUAAAGAAAUCUGUAGGAUGAUAGGGAUGUAUAGUAGAUGGACUAAACACAUUGCAUGAAAUAACAUAAUAAUGUUGUUAUUCAUAAGAUGGCAAUAAUUAAAUGGUGGAAUUUAUAUGCAUUUAUACAGUAUUUCCUAGAUUUUAUUAGAUUGAAGAGGUGUUUUCUAAUUGUGAAAAUAUGUAAUUCUAUUUGAAAUUACAGAAAAAAUAUACAGGGGAAAACCUGUGAUUUUAGUUAUUUAUCACUGAGUUAUGUUUAGGAUUUUACUGGUAUUUGAUGGAAACUCUUUGGAAAUGUGCUGCCAGAUAUUUUACAGUUUUUUCACUUCUGUUUUUCUUUUACAGUGUGGAGAAACCAGACUUGUGCAAGAUCAGCUGUGUGUCUGUCUGUGGUCUGGAUGUAUCAUUUACGCUCCACGGUGACAGACACUCUCUGUUGCAAGACGUCCUUGUUUUUUGUUUUUUAAAUGUACUUUUAGCUCCGUGGGGCAGCAGGAGGAACUUUGUUGACGGACUUAAAACCACAGUAAUAUAGAUCUGAAAGCAGUGACUAAUGCACAAAACCAACACUGAAAAAUAAUGUUUGGGCUCAACAAAAUAAUGCAAUCAAUUUGUAUCAAACUUUCUGAGGUAUAUACGGAUGAAAUUAUCUUCCGCUAACAAACUAGACUGAAAUACAGGAUUUAGCUUCUCCUCAAAGCUGUUUUUAAUUCAAGCUUAUUUAAUGAUGACUGUGAAAACUGUAAAAUCUCAUUUAUCUUUCAGCUUUGGUGACCACAGUUUGUGGAUCACAUUAAUUCGAAUCUACAUGUUGUCUCUUUAAACUCAUUUUCCAGUUAGAGCUGAAGUGCAGCAAUUACACUUGCUGCUGUUUCAGUUUCAUGUUUCAUGUUUCAGCUGCAACUUAAUCAUUGUUUUCUUCCAGUGGGAUAACAGAGUAAAGAAGAAAAAUGAGCAUCUAAAUCUAAUGACAAAGUUGAACUUUUUUUUUUUUUUUUUUUUUUUU